AUGCACGCUGGCUACAGGCUUAACACCUGCAAGUCGAGGGGAAACGACGGGGAAGCUUGCUUCCCCGGGCGUCGACCGGCGCACGGGUGAGUAACGCGUAUCCAACCUGCCUCUGACUGAGGGAUAACCCGUCGAAAGUCGGCCUAAUACCUCAUGGCAUCGUCUGCGGGCAUCCAACGACGAUUAAAGAUUUCAUCGGUCAGAGAUGGGGAUGCGUCUGAUUAGCUUGUUGGCGGGGUAACGGCCCACCAAGGCGACGAUCAGUAGGGGUUCUGAGAGGAAGGUCCCCCACAUUGGAACUGAGACACGGUCCAAACUCCUACGGGAGGCAGCAGUGAGGAAUAUUGGUCAAUGGGCGAGAGCCUGAACCAGCCAAGUAGCGUGCAGGAUGACGGCCCUAUGGGUUGUAAACUGCUUUUAUGCGGGGAUAAAGUGAGGGACGUGUCCUUCAUUGCAGGUACCGCAUGAAUAAGGACCGGCUAAUUCCGUG
Molecule: ribosomal RNA, 490 nt
Filed under: uncultured bacterium
Lineage: Bacteria
Description: partial 16S ribosomal RNA
Rfam family: Bacterial small subunit ribosomal RNA
Source: RNAcentral